ACCCGGGUGGCGGAACUGGUAGACGCGCAGGACUUAAAAUCCUGUUUGCCGAAAGGCGAGUACGGGUUCAACUCCCGUCCCGGGUACAA
This 89-nucleotide transfer RNA is filed under the name Chitinophagaceae bacterium. RNAcentral's name for it is "tRNA-Leu". It matches the Rfam family "tRNA". From Rfam's summary of the family: Transfer RNA (tRNA) molecules are approximately 80 nucleotides in length. Their secondary structure includes four short double-helical elements and three loops (D, anti-codon, and T loops). Lineage: Bacteria; Pseudomonadati; Bacteroidota; Chitinophagia; Chitinophagales; Chitinophagaceae. The record is from RNAcentral.